AGAGUUUGAUCCUGGCUCAGGAUUAACGCUAGCGGAGGCCUAAUACAUGCAAGGCGAGGGCGCAGCAAUGUGACCGCCGUACGGGUGCGUAACGCGUAUGCAACCUACCCAUCACAGGGGGACAGCCCAUGGAAACGUGGAUUAAUACCGCAUAAAGCAGGGGCACCGCAUGGUGAUACUGCUAAAGAUUUAUCGGUGAUGGAUGGGCAUGCGUCUGAUUAGCUAGUUGGUAAGGUAACGGCUUACCAAGGCUACGAUCAGUAGGGGAGCUGAGAGGUUUUCCCCCCACACGGGCACUGAGAUACGGGCCCGACUCCUACGGGAGGCAGCAGUAGGGAAUAUUGGGCAAUGGGUGCAAGCCUGACCCAGCCAUCCCGCGUGCCGGAUGAAGGCCCUCUGGGUCGUAAACGGCUUUUGACGGGGAAGAACCGACAGGAUGCGUCCUGUUUUGACGGUACCCGUUGAAUAAGCACCGGCUAACUCCGUG
RNAcentral lists this ribosomal RNA (487 nucleotides) under uncultured Cytophagaceae bacterium. RNAcentral describes it as "bacterial SSU rRNA". It matches the Rfam family "Bacterial small subunit ribosomal RNA", at positions 8 to 507 of the family's 1533-position model. The record is from RNAcentral. Lineage: Bacteria; Pseudomonadati; Bacteroidota; Cytophagia; Cytophagales; Cytophagaceae.